This 233-nucleotide ribosomal RNA is filed under the name uncultured Actinomycetales bacterium. RNAcentral's name for it is "partial 16S ribosomal RNA". It matches the Rfam family "Bacterial small subunit ribosomal RNA", at positions 97 to 334 of the family's 1533-position model. The record is from RNAcentral. Lineage: Bacteria; Bacillati; Actinomycetota; Actinomycetes; Actinomycetales.
GGCGAACGGGUGAGUAACACGUGGGUGAUCUGCCCUGCACUUUGGGAUAAGCCUGGGAAACUGGGUCUAAUGCCAGAUAGGACCAUGCUUUGGAUGGUGUGGUGGAAAGUUUUUCGGUGUGGGAUGAGCUUGCGGCCUAUCAGCUUGUUGGUGGGGUAAUGGCCUACCAAGGCGUCGACGGGUAGCCGGCCUGAGAGGGUGUACGGCCACAUUGGGACUGAGAUACGGCCCAG